RNAcentral lists this ribosomal RNA (263 nucleotides) under uncultured Staphylococcus sp. RNAcentral describes it as "partial 16S ribosomal RNA". It matches the Rfam family "Bacterial small subunit ribosomal RNA", at positions 524 to 786 of the family's 1533-position model. Lineage: Bacteria; Bacillati; Bacillota; Bacilli; Caryophanales; Staphylococcaceae. The record is from RNAcentral.
UACGUAGGUGGCAAGCGUUAUCCGGAAUUAUUGGGCGUAAAGCGCGCGUAGGCGGUUUUUUAAGUCUGAUGUGAAAGCCCACGGCUCAACCGUGGAGGGUCAUUGGAAACUGGAAAACUUGAGUGCAGAAGAGGAAAGUGGAAUUCCAUGUGUAGCGGUGAAAUGCGCAGAGAUAUGGAGGAACACCAGUGGCGAAGGCGACUUUCUGGUCUGUAACUGACGCUGAUGUGCAAAAGCGUGGGGAUCAAACAGGAUUAGAUACC